AUGCCAGGGUUCCAACGAGUCGUCUCCGAGGCAUGGACUGAAAUUUCUUGUCAUGUCGAACCAUAUCAGCGGUUGUUCCACAAGCUAAAGAGAACAUGCCAAAAACUGCGCUCCUGGAGCAAGACCCUUUUCUCGAACUCCAAGGUCCAGCUCCACAUGGCUCUUGAGGUUAUCCUUCGCCUUGACCUGGCGCAAGAACAAAGAGAGCUAAGCCUAGAGGAAAGGGACCUUCAGAAAAGAUUAAAAAGAAGGAUCAUUAGCUUGGCGGUGCUCGAAAAAUCUAGAAAAAGACAAAACUCGAGGAUCAUAAACCUCAAAGAAGGAGACACCAACACCCGUUAUUUCCACCUCCGUGUCAAUCACCGGAGGAGGAAAAACUUCAUUCAUCGCCUCAAACACAAUAGGGGUUGGGUCACCUCACACGAAGACAAAGAGAAGAUUGUUCACAACCACUUCAAGAACAUAGCCAAAAAAAGGCCAUGCUCGUAA
This 489-nucleotide ribosomal RNA is filed under the name Triticum aestivum (bread wheat). RNAcentral's name for it is "partial small subunit ribosomal RNA". The record is from RNAcentral. Lineage: Eukaryota; Viridiplantae; Streptophyta; Magnoliopsida; Poales; Poaceae.